Molecule: long non-coding RNA, 1020 nt
Organism: Xyrauchen texanus (razorback sucker)
Lineage: Eukaryota; Metazoa; Chordata; Actinopteri; Cypriniformes; Catostomidae
Exons: 3
Source: RefSeq, a predicted model, not a curated record
GUGCCAUUGAGAGCGUUGAUCUGUGGUGGCACCAGCACGUCCAUGGAAGAGACUGGGCAGGCUACAAAAUAUGAAAAUAUACACAUGUCUUAUUCCUGCCAUCUGACUGUCCUGCACCAAGCGAUCAUGAGCUGGUCUCGAACAACACGGGCAAAUGUGAGUUCAAUGGGAAGAGACAGGUUCCUCAUCCUCCUGCUGCCAAUCAAGAAGGAAGAUGUCUGUUCAGUCUAGCCUUGACAGCAGUGUUCGGUGUGAACGGGAAUCCAUGCUGCUUUCAACGAUUGAUGAUACACAGACACACAUACAAAAGACAAUUUACUUGUGCACAAAUUUAUUCUAUACUUAGUGGUUGUAAUCUAGCCUACACAUGCAGUGGUGUUUGCUUAUACUGUACACACCACCUCAAUCUAACAAUGCAGAAGACACACAAAAAUUGUGCAUUCACUUAUUUGAUAUCAUGCAUUUUCUCUAUUAAUGAUACUUUUGUUUACCAUAGUGACAUAGAUGUUGUCUUCAUUUGGCGUGGUUUGAAUAGUGCACGUCUCCCAGAACAGGCAUAGAACUGAAUCUGACCUGAGUUAUGAGACACAAGCAAGCUUAAAAGGCAAUUUUCAAAACCUAAUGUACACAACCAGCUACAGCAGUGCUUUUCUGUCUUAUGUACAUCCAUAGCCCCAUCAAUAAGGCUUAAGGUGCCCUUCAUUGACAAAAAAUGUGUUCAACAGAAGAAAGUAUACGUUUGAAGCAACAAGAGGGUGAAGACAGAAUUUUCAUUUUUAGGUGAACUAUCCCUUAAAGUAGAUUUACAUAAACUUUAACAACCUUAAUAGGCACAUAAUAGGCUACCACAGCAAGCACACAUGGAGUAUGAAAUUGAUACAAGAGCAGACCUGUCAUUUCACCACAUCACACUGAAAUUUAAAUUUAAAAGUACUUACAUUUUAAGAGUUUUGAACCUAUCUUAAGUCCAUUAAGUGCAAUUUAAAUGUAUCUUUCUGAAAUAUUUCACAGUUUAUCAAA